GUCGAACGGUAACAGGAAGCAGCUUGCUGCUUUGCUGACGAGUGGCGGACGGGUGAGUAAUGUCUGGGAAACUGCCUGAUGGAGGGGGAUAACUACUGGAAACGGUAGCUAAUACCGCAUAACGUCGCAAGACCAAAGAGGGGGACCUUCGGGCCUCUUGCCAUCGGAUGUGCCCAGAUGGGAUUAGCUAGUAGGUGGGGUAAAGGCUCACCUAGGCGACGAUCCCUAGCUGGUCUGAGAGGAUGACCAGCCACACUGGAACUGAGACACGGUCCAGACUCCUACGGGAGGCAGCAGUGGGGAAUAUUGCACAAUGGGCGCAAGCCUGAUGCAGCCAUGCCGCGUGUAUGAAGAAGGCCUUCGGGUUGUAAAGUACUUUCAGCGGGGAGGAAGGGAGUAAAGUUAAUACCUUUGCUCAUAGACGUUACCCGCAGAAGAAGCACCGGCUAACUCCGUGCCAGCAGCCGCGGUAAUACGGAGGGUGCAAGCGUUAAUCGGAAUUACUGGGCGUAAAGCGCACGCAGGCGGUUUGUUAAGUCAGAUGUGAAAUCCCCGGGCUCAACCUGGGAGCUGCAUCUGAUACUGGCAAGCUUGAGUCUCGUAGAGGGGGGUAGAAUUCCAGGUGUAGCGGUGAAAUGCGUAGAGAUCUGGAGGAAUACCGGUGGCGAAGGCGGCCCCCUGGACGA
Molecule: ribosomal RNA, 686 nt
Filed under: uncultured Escherichia sp.
Lineage: Bacteria; Pseudomonadati; Pseudomonadota; Gammaproteobacteria; Enterobacterales; Enterobacteriaceae
Description: bacterial SSU rRNA
Rfam family: Bacterial small subunit ribosomal RNA
Source: RNAcentral